GUCUCCUACAUCCAGAUUUCCCUUUUGUUUUUACAUAAAUCUGGCAUCAGUACGGCUUCAUUGUUGAGACGUCUCCUUCCUGCAAUUGUUUUUCCAUGGAUUCCUGCUCAGGGCAGGAGAGAAACCCAGCCAGCCUUCUGCUUUUCCCUCUGUAUCCUAGUUAUCCUAGCAAGGCAGUAGCCCUGUUUGCUACUAGGUCAUCCCACCUCCAGCUUGUAAGAGACCCCACAGGGCGAUGCCAUGGUGGUGGGCACACAGGCUUAUGUUCCUGAUCUCCAUCAGUUUGGGAUUGGUUAUGCUCAUCUCUGCACAGCAUGGCAAUGUAUUUUCCAAUAUAGACAGGACCAAAGUCAACUAAAUCCUUGUAAAAGCAACGAAGGACCUGCUGUCCGAAGCGUGCUAGGAGUUAGCAGCAGUGGUCUUUUCCAGUGUGGCCGGGGGGCAGUGUCUCACCUGGAAGAUGAGCACCUUGAAGCGGUCCCGCCGGAGGAGCUGCGCGUGAUGCUGCUCCA
Molecule: long non-coding RNA, 512 nt
Organism: Pezoporus occidentalis (night parrot)
Lineage: Eukaryota; Metazoa; Chordata; Aves; Psittaciformes; Psittacidae
Exons: 3
Source: RefSeq, a predicted model, not a curated record